Molecule: ribosomal RNA, 419 nt
Filed under: bacterium
Lineage: Bacteria
Description: partial 16S ribosomal RNA
Rfam family: Bacterial small subunit ribosomal RNA
Source: RNAcentral
UGGGGGAUAUUGCACAAUGGGCGAAAGCCUGAUGCAGCGACGCCGCGUGGGGGAUGAAGGCCUGCGGUUUGUAAACUUCUUUUGCUCUGAACAAGGCGCACCAUGGGGUGUGUUGAGUGUAGGGGUUGAUUAGCGCCGGCUAACUACGUGCCAGCAGCCGCGGUAAUACGUAGGGCGCGAGCGUUGUCCGGAAUUAUUGGGCGUAAAGGGCUUGUAGGUGGCUGGUUGCGUCUGUCGUGAAAGCUCAUGGCUUAACUGUGGGUUUGCGGUGGGUACGGGCUGGCUUGAGUGCAGUAGGGGAGGCUGGAAUUCCUGGUGUAGCGGUGGAAUGCGCAGAUAUCAGGAGGAAUACCGGUGGCGAAGGCGGGUCUCUGGGCUGUUACUGACACUGAGGAGCGAAAGCAUGGGGAGCGAACAGG